GCAACAUCAUCAAGUGUGGGGACAUACAGUAGCCCAAUGGUGACAUCCUAAGAUGAGGCAGGAAGGCUCAUCACUGGAUCACAGAAAGCCAACCAAGUCAGAGUCUAUGAAGAAUCUCCUGUAUCAAUAUUGUAUAAAAAAGGCCAAGGAUGUUGAGCUUCUCAGCUGCUGCACCAACACUAUGACUGCCUGUCUGCUGCCAUGUUCCCCGUCGUGGUGGUCAUGGAAUCUAAACCUCUCAGCUUAAGCCCCAAAUAAACUUUCUGUAAGUUGUCUUGGUCAUGGUAUCUUAUCACAGCAACAGAACCAAGUUAUUUUGAAGAAAAGAAUUUAUGAAAAACCUAUUGUGUAUGUGUGUAUAGUAAGUGUGUGGGAGAGACACAUGCCUGUCUGUGCAUGUGUGUACAGCAGAGAUCAAUGCUGGAUGCCUGUCACUAUUGCUUCCCAUUUUAUUUUCUAGAGAGACAGGGCCUCUCGCCUAGAGUUUGCCAUUUUGGAUAGAUUGACUGGGCAAGUGAGCCAAGGACCUUCCUGUCUCUGCCUCCACAGAGCUGGAAUCACAGAUAUACAUGGCUACGCUGAGCUUUCUAAGUGCUACAGAUCUGAACCCAAGUCCUCAUUCCUAUGUGGCAAGCACUUUCCCCACCAAACCAUCGCCCCAUGG
This is a long non-coding RNA of Meriones unguiculatus (Mongolian gerbil), 664 nucleotides long. RefSeq lists it as uncharacterized. The transcript has 3 exons. The record is from RefSeq and is a predicted model, not a curated record. NCBI's taxonomy places the organism in Eukaryota, Metazoa, Chordata, Mammalia, Rodentia, Muridae.